GACAGAGGCCCCAAGCGUUAGGCGGAAUCACUGGGCUUAAAGCGUGUGUAGGCGGACGCCUAAGUGUCUUGUGAAAUCCCACGGCUCACCCGUGGAACUGCUGGGCAUACUGGGCGUCUUGGGCCAACUAGGGGCAGCCGGAACAAGCGGUGGAGCGGUGAAAUGCGUAGAUAUCGCUUGGAACGCCGAAGGUGAAAACAGGCUGCUGGGGUUGUGCCGACGCUGAGACACGAAAGCCAGGGGAGCAAACGGA
This 253-nucleotide ribosomal RNA is filed under the name uncultured bacterium. RNAcentral's name for it is "partial 16S ribosomal RNA". It matches the Rfam family "Bacterial small subunit ribosomal RNA", at positions 524 to 776 of the family's 1533-position model. The record is from RNAcentral.